AAGAGAAUAAUUAAUAAAAUAAAAUAUAAUAAAAUUAAUUUUAAUUUAUAUAAAUAUUUUAAUGGGGGUUAAAGUAUUAUAAAAAGAAAAAAUUAAUAAUUUUAUAGUUAAAUAGUAUUGUGAAAGAAUUUUGAAAUAAGUUUAAAAUAAAUUUUUUAAAAAGUAAAUUUUAUUUAUUGUAUCUUGUGUAUCAGAGUUUAUCAAAAAUUUUUAAUUUACAUUAAUUUCUCGAAAUUAAAAGAACUAAAUAAUUAUAAAAGUUAUUGUAGAAAAAAUAUUUUAAAUAAUUAUUUAGAAAUGAAAUGUUAAUCGUUUUUAAUGAUAUCUAGUUUUUUUAGAAAAAAAUUUAAUUUUAAAUUUAUUUUUAUAAUAAAUUAAUUAAUUAAUUUAUUAUAUUUUAAAUUUUAUAUUUUAAGGGAUAAGCUUUAAAUUAAAAAUUUAUAAUAAUUUUAAAAAUUUUAAGAAUUUUAUAAUUUAUAUUGUUAAUAAAUUUUAUUUUAUUAUAAAUAAUCUUAAAUAAAUAAAAAUUUAAUUUAAUAUUUAAUUUUUUAUAAAAAAAUAUUUUUUAAUUACAAAAAAAUUAGUAAUAAUGAUAAAAUUAGUAUAUUAUUAAAAAAUAAAUUUUAAAUUUAAAUUUAUUAAUAAAAUUAAUUAAAAUUAAUUCGGCAAAUAUUAUAUUCACUUGUUUAACAAAAACAUGUCUUUUUGAAUUUAAUUUAAAGUCUAAUCUGCCCACUGAUAUUUAUAUUAAAGGGCUGCAGUAUUUUGACUGUACAAAGGUAGCAUAAUCAUUAGUCUCUUAAUUGGUGACUUGUAUGAAAGAUUGAAUGAGAUAUAUACUGUCUCUUAAUUAAUUUAUAGAAUUUAAUUUUUUAUUUAAAAAGUUAAAAUAAAUUAAAAAGACGAGAAGACCCUAUAGAGUUUUAUUAUUAGUUUUAUUAUUUAAUUAUUUUUAUAUUUAAGAUUUUUAUAAAUUUAAUAAUUUUAUUGGGGUGAUGAAAAAAUAUAUUUAACUUUUUUUAAUGUUUAUACAUAAAUAAGUGAUUAAAUGAUCCAGUUUUAUUGAUUAUAAGAAGAAAUUACCUUAGGGAUAACAGCGUAAUUUUUUUUUUUAGUUCAAAUAAGAAAGAAAGUUUGCGACCUCGAUGUUGGAUUAAGAUAAAAUUUAAAUGUAAAAGUUUAAAAUUUUUGAUCUGUUCGAUCAUUAAAAUCUUACAUGAUCUGAGUUCAAACCGGUGUAAGCCAGGUUGGUUUCUAUCUUUUAAAGUGUUUAAAUAUUUUAGUACGAAAGGAUCAAAUAUUUUAAUUAAAUUAUAAUUAUUUUGAAUUUUAUUAAAAUAAGUAAAAAAUUAAUUUAUAUGAUUUAUAUAUUAUA
Molecule: ribosomal RNA, 1375 nt
Filed under: Pseudomiza obliquaria
Lineage: Eukaryota; Metazoa; Arthropoda; Insecta; Lepidoptera; Geometridae
Description: 16S ribosomal RNA
Source: RNAcentral